CGGUAAUGAUGAAAUUCCACCUCAUUGGUCCGUGUUUCUGAGCCACAUGAUUUGUUCUGGAAGUUCUGACACU
This is a small nucleolar RNA of Ornithorhynchus anatinus (platypus), 73 nucleotides long. RefSeq annotates it as small nucleolar RNA SNORD18. The transcript has a single exon. Lineage: Eukaryota; Metazoa; Chordata; Mammalia; Monotremata; Ornithorhynchidae. The record is from RefSeq and is a predicted model, not a curated record.